GAUGAACGCUAGCGGCAGGCUUAACACAUGCAAGUCGAGGGGUAUUGGUUUUCGGACCAAGAGACCGGCGCACGGGUGCGUAACGCGUAUGCAAUCUACCUUUUGCAGAGGGAUAGCCCCAGAGAAAUUUGGAUUAAUACCUCAUAGUAUAGUACUUUGGCAUCAAGGAACUAUUAAAGUCACAACGGCAAAAGAUGAGCAUGCGUCCCAUUAGCUAGUUGGUAAGGUAACGGCUUACCAAGGCUACGAUGGGUAGGGGUCCUGAGAGGGAGAUCCCCCACACUGGUACUGAGACACGGACCAGACUCCUACGGGAGGCAGCAGUGAGGAAUAUUGGACAAUGGGCGCAAGCCUGAUCCAGCCAUGCCGCGUGCAGGAAUAAGGUCCUAUGGAUUGUAAACUGCUUUUAUACAGGAAGAACACACCCUCGUGAGGGUACUUGACGGUACUGUAUGAAUAAGGACCGGCUAACUCCGUGCCAG
This 482-nucleotide ribosomal RNA is filed under the name uncultured bacterium. Its description in RNAcentral is "bacterial SSU rRNA". It matches the Rfam family "Bacterial small subunit ribosomal RNA", at positions 28 to 511 of the family's 1533-position model. The record is from RNAcentral.